This 497-nucleotide ribosomal RNA is filed under the name uncultured bacterium. RNAcentral describes it as "partial 16S ribosomal RNA". It matches the Rfam family "Bacterial small subunit ribosomal RNA", at positions 28 to 507 of the family's 1533-position model. The record is from RNAcentral.
GAUGAACGCUGGCGGCGUGCCUAAUACAUGCAAGUCGAGCGAACAGACGAGGAGCUUGCUCCUCUGACGUUAGCGGCGGACGGGUGAGUAACACGUGGAUAACCUACCUAUAAGACUGGGAUAACUUCGGGAAACCGGAGCUAAUACCGGAUAAUAUAUUGAACCGCAUGGGUCAAUAGUGAAAGACGGUUUUGCUGUCACUUAUAGAUGGAUCCGCGCCGCAUUAGCUAGUUGGUAAGGUAACGGCUUACCAAGGCGACGAUGCGUAGCCGACCUGAGAGGGUGAUCGGCCACACUGGAACUGAGACACGGUCCAGACUCCUACGGGAGGCAGCAGUAGGGAAUCUUCCGCAAUGGGCGAAAGCAUGACGGAGCAACGCCGCGUGAGUGAUGAAGGUCUUCGGAUCGUAAAACUCUGUUAUUAGGGAAGAACAAAUGUGUAAGUAACUAUGCACGUCUUGACGGUACCUAAUCAGAAAGCCACGGCUAACUACGUG